RNAcentral lists this long non-coding RNA (1670 nucleotides) under Panax ginseng (ginseng). Its description in RNAcentral is "long non-coding RNA (PGIN_LNC010461)". The record is from RNAcentral. Lineage: Eukaryota; Viridiplantae; Streptophyta; Magnoliopsida; Apiales; Araliaceae.
UUUCAUACUCCAUAGUAUGGAAGGGAUAUUAUUUUAUUUCAUAUUCCUAAAUUUAAACUUACUAUGGUAAGUAUUGCUUCUAUAAUUCCUGAAAUUAGUAGAAUAUCCUUGAUAUUUGCGCUUCAUCCAGUAUCUUUUCACCCAAUAAGUUUUAACCUGACAUUUAGAUUUUUGGUUGCUCUUGGGACAGCUGCUCAAGUUCGCCAAAAGCUCCGAGUUGGGUUUUCGGUUUUUGCCAGCUGGUUUGAUGCUCAUAGUUUUCGUGGGUUGUUGUUCAGAUGGUUGCCAUGAAUUUUUAGUCCGUAUAGACUUGUUCGACUGAUUGUCGAGGUUGCUUUCGGUUUUGCUACUGAUGUUCUAUCGGAAUCUAUGACUUGGGUUAUCAAAAUCUUGGUCGGGUCUUGUGUUCUAGCAGCUCGCCAGAGAUUUUCAGGCCAGUCAUUGGAAAUUCGCCGGUCUAUUGUGGGUCACGUGGUGCUGAUCUCACUGACUAGUUUGCUGCGUACGUGGACUAUGUUUUAUACUGCAUAUGCUUUUUGCUCACGUGGGAUGGGUUAAUCAACUGGUGGACUCUCUUGGUUCACCUGCUCGGGAUGCUUUCUCGGAUGUGAGGAGUUCUGAGUCAAUCAAUUUAUCGAUUACCCAAGAUGAUUCUUCUUUUUUCAGAGGAGUUAAUUUGGAGUUAGCAGUUAUAGGUUCCCUAUCAGUUUGAUUUGGUUUUUUUAUUUGUUUCAGCUUAUUGGGUGUGUUUUGUUGUUCCCCUGUUCAUCUAAGCAUGUUUUGUUGUUGCUUUUGUUCAAUGGUGUUUGGUUGCCUUCAAGGAGAUCUGGUUUUUCUGGAUGAGAAUGUCGCCGAUAAUGGUGCUUUGUUUGGGCGUCCUUUCUCGCCGGUUUUCCUUGCCGUCGGUCUAUUUGGUGCAGGGUCAGUCCGGCAUGACUGUUUUGGGCGGAGUGUUGCUGCACAUCUGGGGCCCACGGCUGUUUCAGCUAACUGCACUCCAGUUUUAGUUGGUGUUGCAAAGCUUGCAUUGGGCCCACUAUUGUUUAUGCUGCAUGGAUUUGGAGCUUAAUUCAGUAUCUUUGGUCCACCUUAGCUGAUAUAUGCCCACGUGGGCUUGACAUUCAAUUAUCCUGAUGGGUUCUAUUUUGGGCCUUGUCUGAGAUAAUAUUUGUUGUAACUAAUUGGCUCUUUUGCUAAUUUAGUGUUUCUAUUGACCUAACCUCGGGUUAUGAGGAAAAUUAUAAUUAGGUUAGGUCUUUGGUUUCCUAGCUUUUCUAGGUGUUUUAGUCCUCUCGGGAGAAGAGGACUAUGAUCUGGUCUUCAUUGUAAUAUCCAAAUUUUUGCAUUAAAUACACAAACAAAUUUAGCAAAAAAAAUGAAGGACCGCAGCUUGGCCAUGAUAUGUCUGAUAUCUUUAGAGCAGCCCAUCAACUCUCUUAGCAGGGCCAUAUUGAUGCUGCUGAUGAGCGUAAGCGUAGCAAUACCCUAAUGGACUUCAUCUUAUCCCAAGGUUUUUCUGUUCAGAAUAUCAAUGACUGCUAACAAAGGUAAAUCGGUUAGGCAAGUUAACGACCAUGACCUGUUUGAUAAAAGUACUCUGAGAGGGUCCUCCGGGCUACCUAUCCUAGCACUUGUUUCUGGGCUUAUCUCUGCCUCCGGCUUAUCUGGCC